This 375-nucleotide ribosomal RNA is filed under the name uncultured bacterium. RNAcentral describes it as "bacterial SSU rRNA". It matches the Rfam family "Bacterial small subunit ribosomal RNA", at positions 525 to 896 of the family's 1533-position model. The record is from RNAcentral.
ACGUAGGGGGCGAGCGUUGUCCGGAUUUAUUGGGCGUAAAGAGCUCGUAGGCGGUUCGGUAAGUCGGGUGUGAAACCUCCAGGCUCAACCUGGAGACGCCACCUGAUACUGCUGUGACUAGAGUCCGGUAGGGGAGUGUGGAACUCCUGGUGUAGCGGUGAAAUGCGCAGAUAUCAGGAAGAACACCAGCGGCGAAGGCGGCACUCUGGGCCGGUACUGACGCUGAGGAGCGAAAGCGUGGGUAGCAAACAGGAUUAGAUACCCUGGUAGUCCACGCCGUAAACGUUGGGCACUAGGUGUGGGUCUCAACCAACGAGAUCCGUGCCGCAGCUAACGCAUUAAGUGCCCCGCCUGGGGAGUACGGCCGCAAGGCUA